AUCAAAGACCGUCCGAAAGUAUGAUUGAGCACCAUUGCCUCCGAAUGGCUUUCCUUGUCUUGUUAUUUGUCUGCACCCACGGAUCCCCUCCUAAAGUGAUAGACUUUCUGUCCCAAGGUGAAGUGGACAAUCAGUGCUUUGAUGCAUCAUCCCUUGCUCUCGUUGAAACACGACACAUAAAUGCAGUUGAAAGUGUACACGACCUAUGGAAGUUCCUGAUAUACCUGAGGGAGUCCAAGAUACCCAAGCACAGAUUCCUCUUCUGGGAUUUGGCUCAGCUGUUCUGGGAUGUUUAUGUGGAUUGCGUGUUGGCAAGAACUCAUGGCCUAGGCAAAUGAGAAACAAUCUCUGAUGGGAAUUUCACAGUUCAAAGCCACAACAUUUGUGAUGCUGAAGAAUUCCUCUUAAAAUAAGGAAGCCCGGUAGUGAUAGGAUCAACUUUUGGACUCAAGUCGUCUCUGAACUUCUGUUUUAUAAUUGGAUGUGACUCUUUCUUGUACUUAUUGUCUCAAUCCUUAAAUGCUGCAUUCCAGAAUAAAGGCUGGCAUAAAAUAGGAAAUUUAACAUCCACUGGUUUAUAUAAAGGAACAUAUUUUUGCUAUAAGAUUAUUUCAUGCGUAAAAGAGAAAGAGGCAGACGUGAAAAAUCUGCAUUCCACUUUCAAUUGUUCCUGACCUUUGGUGUAGUUUUCAAAUAUUUUUAUGCUAUAUAAUUAGAACAAAUGUACCUCAG
Chiloscyllium plagiosum (whitespotted bambooshark) is the source of this 732-nucleotide long non-coding RNA. RefSeq lists it as uncharacterized. Lineage: Eukaryota; Metazoa; Chordata; Chondrichthyes; Orectolobiformes; Hemiscylliidae. The record is from RefSeq and is a predicted model, not a curated record.